AGCGGGGUAGAGGAAUUGGUCAACUCAUCAGGCUCAUGACCUGAAGACUGCAGGUUCGAAUCCUGUCCUCGCCU
Triticum aestivum (bread wheat) is the source of this 74-nucleotide non-coding RNA. The record is from Rfam. NCBI's taxonomy places the organism in Eukaryota, Viridiplantae, Streptophyta, Magnoliopsida, Poales, Poaceae.